GACAGCAGUCGCCGCGGGAAUACAGAGGGUGCGAGCGUUAAUCGGAUUUACUGGGCGUAAAGCGUGCGUAGGCGGCUUCUUAAGUCGGAUGUGAAAUCCCUGAGCUUAACUUAGGAAUUGCAUUCGAUACUGGGAAGCUAGAGUAUGGGAGAUGAUGGUAGAAUUCCAGGUGUAGCGGUGAAAUGCGUAGAGAUCUGGAGGAAUACCGAUGGCGAAGGCAGCCAUCUGGCCUAAUACUGACGCUGAGGUACGAAAGCAUGGGGAGCAAACAGGAUUAGAUACCCGGGUAGUCCCUGUCUCUUAUAC
This 306-nucleotide ribosomal RNA is filed under the name uncultured bacterium. RNAcentral's name for it is "partial 16S ribosomal RNA". It matches the Rfam family "Bacterial small subunit ribosomal RNA", at positions 507 to 807 of the family's 1533-position model. The record is from RNAcentral.